RNAcentral lists this ribosomal RNA (200 nucleotides) under uncultured bacterium. RNAcentral's name for it is "partial 16S ribosomal RNA". It matches the Rfam family "Bacterial small subunit ribosomal RNA", at positions 8 to 205 of the family's 1533-position model. The record is from RNAcentral.
AGAGUUUGAUCCUGGCUCAGAGCGAACGUUAGCGGCGGGCCUAACACAUGCAAGUCGAGCGAGAAAGAGGCUUCGGCCUCGAGUAAAGCGGCGGACGGGUGAAUAUCGCGUAGGUAACCUGCCCUUCAGCGGGGGAUAACGGUCCGAAAGGACCGCUAAUACCGCGUACGUACCUUGGGGCUCCGGCCCUGGGGUGGAAA